Molecule: ribosomal RNA, 468 nt
Filed under: uncultured bacterium
Lineage: Bacteria
Description: partial 16S ribosomal RNA
Rfam family: Bacterial small subunit ribosomal RNA
Source: RNAcentral
GACGAACGCUGGCGGCGUGCUUAACACAUGCAAGUCGAACGGAAAGGCCCUGCUUUUGUGGGGUGCUCGAGUGGCGAACGCGUGUGUAACACGUGAGUAACCUGCCCUUGACUUUGGGAUAACUUCAGGAAACUGGGGCUAAUACCGGAUAGGAGCUCCUGCUGCAUGGUGGGGGUUGGAAAGUUUCGGCGGUUGGGGAUGGACUCGCGGCUUAUCAGCUUGUUGGUGGGGUAGUGGCUUACCAAGGCUUUGACGGGUAGCCGGCCUGAGAGGGUGACCGGCCACAUUGGGACUGAGAUACGGCCCAGACUCCUACGGGAGGCAGCAGUGGGGAAUAUUGCACAAUGGGCGGAAGCCUGAUGCAGAAACGACGCGUGCGGGAUGCCGGCCUUCGGGGUGUAAAACUCUUUCGCCGGUGAAGAAGAGUGAGGGACGGUAAUGGGUAAAAAAGCAACGGCUAACUACGUU